RNAcentral lists this transfer RNA (73 nucleotides) under Cordylochernes scorpioides. RNAcentral describes it as "tRNA-Phe". Lineage: Eukaryota; Metazoa; Arthropoda; Arachnida; Pseudoscorpiones; Chernetidae. The record is from RNAcentral.
UACCGAAACACGGGAUUGAACCAGGAAACUUUAGAUCUUCAGUCUAACGCUCUCCCAACUGAGCUAUUUCAGC